GGCGUAAAGCGCCUGCAGCCGGUCAGGUAAGUCGGUUGUGAAAGCCCCGUGCUCAACGCGGGGAGCACAAGCGAUACUGCGUGACUUGAGGNCGGAAGAGGGGAGUGGAAUUCCCGGUGUAGCGGUAAAAUGCGCAGAUAUCGGGAGGAACACCAGUGGCGAAGGCGGCUCCCUGGACCGCACCUGACGCUCAGAGGCGAAAGCUAGGGGAGCGAACAGGAUUAGAGACCCUGGUAGUCCUAGCCCUAAACGCUGGAUGCUAGGUGUAGGGCUGAUGAGGCUCUGUGCCGGAGCGAACGCGAUAAGCAUCCCGCCUGGGAACUACGGCCGCAAGGCUAAAACUCAAACGAAUUGACGGGGACCCGCACAAGCAGCGGAGCGUGUGGUUUAAUUCGAUGCUACACGAAGAACCUUACCUGGGUUUGACAUGCUGGUGGUACCGAACCGAAAGGGGAGGGACCCUUCGGGGAGCCAACACAGGUGCUGCAUGGCUGUCGUCAGCUCGUGCCGUGAGGUGUCGGGUUAAGUCCCGUAACGAGCGCAACCCUUGCUCUUAGUUAUACGUGUCUAAGGGGACUGCCGGCGACAAGCCGGAGGAAGGUGGGGAUGACGUCAAGUCAGCAUGGCCUUGAUAUCCAGGGCUACACACACGCUACAAUGGCCGGUACAAAGGGCAGCCAAGCCGCGAGGUGGAGCGAAUCCCAGCAAAGCCGGUCCCAGUUCGGAUUGCAGGCUGCAACCCGCCUGCAUGAAGUUGGAGUUGCUAGUAACCGCGCGUCAGCCAUAGUGCGGUGAAUACGUACCCGGGUCUUGUACA
This 817-nucleotide ribosomal RNA is filed under the name uncultured organism. RNAcentral's name for it is "bacterial SSU rRNA". It matches the Rfam family "Bacterial small subunit ribosomal RNA", at positions 557 to 1387 of the family's 1533-position model. The record is from RNAcentral.